Molecule: ribosomal RNA, 492 nt
Filed under: uncultured bacterium
Lineage: Bacteria
Description: partial 16S ribosomal RNA
Rfam family: Bacterial small subunit ribosomal RNA
Source: RNAcentral
AGUGAACGCUGGCGGUAGGCCUAACACAUGCAAGUCGAACGGCAGCACAGUAAGAGCUUGCUCUUACGGGUGGCGAGUGGCGGACGGGUGAGGAAUACAUCGGAAUCUACUUUUUCGUGGGGGAUAACGUAGGGAAACUUACGCUAAUACCGCAUACGACCUACGGGUGAAAGCAGGGGAUCUUCGGACCUUGCGCGAUUGAAUGAGCCGAUGUCGGAUUAGCUAGUUGGCGGGGUAAAGGCCCACCAAGGCGACGAUCCGUAGCUGGUCUGAGAGGAUGAUCAGCCAACCUGGAACUGAGACACGGUCCCGACUCGUACGAGAGGACGCAGUGGGGAAUAUUGGACAAUGGGCACAAGCCUGAUGCAGCAAUACCGAGUGGGUGAAGAAGGCCUUCGGGUUGUAAAGACCUGUUGUUGGGAAAGAAAAGCAGAAGGUUAAUCCCCCGCUGUUCUGACGGUACCCAAAGAAUAAGCACCGGCUAACUUCGUG